AUUGAACGCUGGCGGCAGGCCUAACACAUGCAAGUCGAGCGGAUGAAGGGAGCUUGCUCCUGGAUUCAGCGGCGGACGGGUGAGUAAUGCCUAGGAAUCUGCCUGGUAGUGGGGGAUAACGUCCGGAAACGGGCGCUAAUACCGCAUACGUCCUGAGGGAGAAAGUGGGGGAUCUUCGGACCUCACGCUAUCAGAUGAGCCUAGGUCGGAUUAGCUAGUUGGUGGAGUAAAGGCCUACCAAGGCGACGAUCCGUAACUGGUCUGAGAGGAUGAUCAGUCACACUGGAACUGAGACACGGUCCAGACUCCUACGGGAGGCAGCAGUGGGGAAUAUUGGACAAUGGGCGAAAGCCUGAUCCAGCCAUGCCGCGUGUGUGAAGAAGGUCUUCGGAUUGUAAAGCACUUUAAGUUGGGAGGAAGGGCAGUAAGUUAAUACCUUGCUGUUUUGACGUUUCCAACAGAAUAAGCACCGGCUAACUUCGUG
RNAcentral lists this ribosomal RNA (484 nucleotides) under uncultured bacterium. Its description in RNAcentral is "partial 16S ribosomal RNA". It matches the Rfam family "Bacterial small subunit ribosomal RNA", at positions 30 to 507 of the family's 1533-position model. The record is from RNAcentral.